GUCGUAGCAACAGUAACUAUGGGAAGGAACGUGUGGAGAGAAGCAGCGAAUCAUGGAAACGUUUAUGGUGAUGCAGGUCGUUGGGACGAAAAUCCGUACUUCAAUCAAAUGAGGCAAGCAGUCAGAUCCCACCAGUUUGUGUGGUGACAUCAUAGACUGUAUAUGUAAGGGUGACAUCGGUCCACCAAUAACUCAUUAAUAUCUGGGAAGCUGUCCUAAUCUUGUUUUGUUGAACCUAGCCCACUGUCAACAUUCUGAGCUUGUAGGGCCUCUUCCGGAGCACAAGACUUUGAUGCCCGCUAAGGACCAGUCUGAUCUGAACAACCCCGAAGCUACAGAACGGGCCGAUGUGCUGCAACUGGAUAACUUGCAAGAUAAUAGUCUCCUCGAUAAAACAAAAAUAUCCCCGAAGGUUGUGGAGAAAAAGUAUCCUUUUCAACAGGGUUACAAGAUAAAGCCAUUCCACAGUGAAAACGAAGUGUUCGAGGACAAUCUUCAGACUCCUGCUCUCAAAGUUCAUGUCAACCACAAAAUCCCAUCCGGAGUUGACCUAUUGAUAGACCCUACAGGGUUCAAGCCACCUGCGAAAUUAGACAAUACCUUGAGCACUGUUUUCUUGGUUCUUAUUGUAUUAUUGUUUUUAAUCGAUGUUGUGAGGUUCUCCAAGCAUAAAAUAAGAAGAUAUAAUGCUGCCAGGAUGAAGGAAAGAGAGUCGGAUAUUGCUGAACCCCCGCUGACAUUGACGUCCAGAGUUUGGGUGGGCAUCUCCUCACUGUUUGGUCCAAAAGAGGCUGCAUCUCCACCACAGCUGUUUCCGGUUUCUGAUGAUGAUGCAGAGAAGUCAAUCUCCACCACGGGCAACUCUAAUCAUGAAAAGAAAUUCGGAAGGAGAACGUUUAGCUGGAGACUAUGGAGACCGACUCAGCGGAUUGUCCCACAGAACAAUCCGGUGCUCGAUACUGUGCCUUUCAUCGAGGUUCCACUGACCACAAUUCACCCACCCCUGGAAAAAGUUGUAUGUCACCACAUAGUCAACCACCAGACAACUGACAAGCCCUGCUACACAGGGUCGGGACUUCCUGAGGUCAGCAUCAGUUGACUUUGAGGACAUCGGAAACCAAUUAACAUUGAUUGGCCGAAAAUACCUCUUGUGACGUUUUUUCUCAUUUAAUUUGAUCAUAACUUUAGAGUAAUAAAACUUGCAUUCCAAAUGUACAGUAUGUCUGGUAUAGUUUGUCACACAAAUAACUGUCUCUCUAUGCCACUGUGUCGCUUGGCCUUGAGUUCGCUAACAUCCAUGCUAACAGGCCUCAGGCCUUUACUGCCCGUUUGUAUUUAACCUAGCCUGCUGAGUUAACUAUGAAGGUCGCUUGCAUCCAUGAUAAGUGGCGCUAAUGGGUCCGCCAUCUUCCCUGUGACUAAUUUGGAAAAGUCCGGCCAAUUACACAAAAAAAUAGUGGUGUUUUGUGCAGAAACAACUUGCUCCACAAAAAGGACCAAAGAUACGAGGGAGGCUGGAAUCACUUCAUACGGAACAAGGUUCCACAACGGGGGACGCUCAAGCAUCAUGUUUAUCCCUGAAUACAAAUACAAUCAUGCCUGAUAAGGCCCUACAGCUGUGUAGCAGCCUGGAGCCCCAACUCCUGCUCUAUAAAAUACACAGCUACCCCUGCAUUCACUGAUGUCAGAACCGCUCUUCACCCCAACUCAAACGGCAUGGGGCCCAAAAGUUGCAGCACCUAGUUCACUCCCUCUGGAAUAUAUAUGUAACUCAAAGUUCCCUUUCAGUUGGUCACUUUGGUGUCGCAAUGGGGACAAUACAUAGUGCCGCUAAGCCAUAGAGGUGGAAUACUGAUGUGAAGGACCAAGGCAACCUGCCCAAAAGAAAAUGAGCCACAUAAAAACAUGGGCACAAAAGGCAAGG
Long non-coding RNA from Esox lucius (northern pike), 1924 nucleotides. The record is from Ensembl. NCBI's taxonomy places the organism in Eukaryota, Metazoa, Chordata, Actinopteri, Esociformes, Esocidae.